GACGUAGGGCGCGAGCGUUGUCCGGAAUCACUGGGCGUAAAGGGCGCGUAGGCGGUCCGCUAAGUGUGUGGUGAAAGCUCGGGGCUCAACCCCGAGUCGGCCGUGCAAACUGGUGGACUGGAGCAUGUCAGAGGCAGGCGGAAUUCCGGGUGUAGCGGUGGAAUGCGUAGAGAUGGGGGAGAACACUCGUGGCGAAGGCGGCCAGCUAGACCAGUUCUGACACUGAGGCGCGACAGCGUGGGGAGCAAACAGG
Molecule: ribosomal RNA, 253 nt
Filed under: uncultured bacterium
Lineage: Bacteria
Description: partial 16S ribosomal RNA
Rfam family: Bacterial small subunit ribosomal RNA
Source: RNAcentral